Molecule: ribosomal RNA, 395 nt
Filed under: uncultured bacterium
Lineage: Bacteria
Description: partial 16S ribosomal RNA
Rfam family: Bacterial small subunit ribosomal RNA
Source: RNAcentral
AUACGUAGGGGGCGAGCGUUGUCCGGAAUGACUGGGCGUAAAGGGCGUGUAGGCGGCUUUAUAAGUCUGGAGUGAAAGUCCUGCUUUCAAGGUGGGAAUUGCUUUGGAGACUGUAGAGCUUGAGUGCGGAAGAGGUAAGUGGAAUUCCCAGUGUAGCGGUGAAAUGCGUAGAGAUUGGGAGGAACACCGGUGGCGAAAGCGGCGCACUGGACCACAACUGACGCUGAGGCGCGAAAGCGAGGGGAGCAAACAGGAUUAGAUACCCUGGUAGUCCUAGCCCUAACCUAUGGGUGCUUGGUGUGAUCGGUACCCAAUCCGAUCGUGCCGUAGCUAACGCGUUAAGCAUCCCGCCUGGGGAGUACGGUCGCAAGGCUGAAACUCAAAUGAAUUGACGG